Molecule: long non-coding RNA, 1632 nt
Organism: Homo sapiens (human)
Lineage: Eukaryota; Metazoa; Chordata; Mammalia; Primates; Hominidae
Source: Ensembl
GGGAAGCGCAGCCUCGGCGGGGCCCGGCCGGCGGCGGGGAGGUCGCGGGGCCGGGAGGCGCGAGGUAGGCGGGAGCCGCGGUGAGGAGGACGGUCGAACCCGUGGCUGAGGCCCAGCGCCGAGAAGCGGCAGGCAGAGUUCGGGGUCGGGGAGUUUAUCCUGCGCUGGCCUCGGCAGGGGUCCCCGGGGUGGUUGAUCCUCGACUGGCCCGGGAGGCGCCUGGGUCCGCGCGGGACCUCUCUGCCUCCUCCUCCGACCCGUGCGGGGCGGUCGGGGGCGCUCCCGAGGGGGUCCCGGGAAAGGCGGGGUCUGGCAGGGGGUCCUGGGCGCUGGGUCGUUCAGAAGCACGGCUUUACUCCAGUUACCCUCUUUUUAUCCAAGGCCGGGGUUCCCCGGGUGCCUGGUAGCAGUGAAACCCCAAGUCCCUCGGUUAGGGGAGCCGUGACCCUGGGAGCUUUUGAGCUCUCUGGUAUAACAUCCUUUUACAUCCUAAGAGACACAGUUCUGUGCUUGCUUAGGACUUUUUUCGUAUGCGCCCUUUCUUCCCCCAAAAAACAAAAAACCGAAAAAACUUGUAUGUCUCUCCCGCCCACCCGUACUUUCACUAUUCAUUUACCUCAUAGAAGUUGGUCAAAUUUUCCAUUCGAAGACGAGUUUUAUGCUGCGGUAGCUUCAAGCAAUAAGUCGAACACUGUGUUGAAAUUAAGUCUUGGAUCCGACUACUUCCAGCGAAGUGAGGAGUUGGUCCAAUAGAAAUUAUUUUCCAAAAUGUGUUGUAAUUCUCCUGUUGCUCCACAAAUAAGGGGUUAUCAGAGAGGAAAACGUUGACUGACUUCGCAUUUCUGAAAGCUGGUUUGUAGUCGCCUUAUUUCAUCCUUACCCUUCUCUGGAAAUGUGACAUUAGUUCUGUUUGUGCUUAAGACAAAGGAAACAGCUGGCACCUUUCGGGAAGGUGGCUCCAGUACAGUUGUUUCCAGGUGUUAAGCUGUAUGAGAAAGUAGAAAAGUAAUCAGAAAUCCUUACUAGUUUUCAUUUAAUCAUUUAAUUAUUAAUUUUAACCAUCAUUAUUUGUCGUCUACUUGUUUUGUGUAAAAUGAGUAAUACACUCAAAGUUCUUGUUAAUAGGAAAUUAUUGUUUGAUAAAGCUGGCUUUAUGGCUUGGUUAUUUUGAUACCUGCUAUGAAAUUCUAUGUCCAGAAGAGUGCAGCAUAUCCAAGCAGGGUAAUAAGUUCAGAAGGACUGAAAAAGAAAACAAAGAUGAUUUUUCUUUAAUGAUGGAAAGGCAAUUUUUAUUUCAAACGAUUAUGCAUUUGUAGGUUGUGCAUAGGCUGAAAGGUUUGAAUCACUGUGAAAUAAUGUUUCUAACAACAUCCUUAAAACUGAGUUACCUCUUGAAUGGAUAGAUAAAUAGGAACUGGGUUAACUACCCCAAACGCUAAUCUCUUUAUGAUCAUCCUUUUUUGGAAUGAUUUAUUAUUUUAAAAAUUAUGUUGUAAGAAUGGAAUUAUAGCCCCGGAAAUAUUUAGAAGCUUUAUUUCAAAUUAAUGUUAUUAAGUAUUCCAGCAAAACAAUAAAUUCCACUUUUAAGUAUAUGUUAAAAUGGUGAUAAAUAAAAGUUAUAACUUAAUUCUA